GACGAACGCUGGCGGCGUGCCUAAUACAUGCAAGUAGAACGCUGAAGGAGGAGCUUGCUUCUCUGGAUGAGUUGCGAACGGGUGAGUAACGCGUAGGUAACCUGCCUGGUAGCGGGGGAUAACUAUUGGAAACGAUAGCUAAUACCGCAUAAGAGUAGAUGUUGCAUGACAUUUACUUAAAAGGUGCAAUUGCAUCACUACCAGAUGGACCUGCGUUGUAUUAGCUAGUUGGUGAGGUAACGGCUCACCAAGGCAACGAUACAUAGCCGACCUGAGAGGGGGGUCGGCCACACUGGGACUGAGACACGGCCCAGACUCCUACAGGAGGCAGCGGUAGGGAAUCUUCUGCGAUGGGCGGAAGUCUGACCGGGCAACGCCGCGUGAGUGAAGAAGGUUUUCGGAUCGUAAAGCUCUGUUGUAAGAGAAGAACGAGUGUGAGAGUGGAAAGUUCACACUGUGACGGUAACUUACCAGAAAGGGACGGCUAACUACGUG
RNAcentral lists this ribosomal RNA (495 nucleotides) under uncultured bacterium. RNAcentral's name for it is "partial 16S ribosomal RNA". It matches the Rfam family "Bacterial small subunit ribosomal RNA", at positions 28 to 507 of the family's 1533-position model. The record is from RNAcentral.